GCACCACAAGAACGCGUGGAGCAUGUGGCUUAAUUUGACUCAACGCGGGAAAUCUUACCGGGUCCGGACACACUGAGGAUUGACAGGCAAUAUCUCAUGUAACGGUAAGUUUACUUACCGCUUAACAUCGAGUGUUAAAUAUGCUAGUCCUUUCAUGAUUAUGUGAUAGGUGGUGCAUGGCCGUUCUUAGUUCGUGGAGUGAUCUGUCUGCUUAAUUGCGUUUCACUAAGGGCCCAUAAAUUCAAGGUAUGUUAGCUCUCGUCGCUCUAUGGACCCCUUAACUCCAAUAUUCUUAUUGUGUUAAGCGCGUGUCUUUAUUUUAAGAGUUUUAAGACACUGCGCAUGCUGUUGGGCUCUGAAAGCAACGAACGUGACCGCAACGUCUUGUUGCCUUAAACUAGCGUAUAUUGCAAUUUAUUGNAAUAUCGCUUACAGAGGCUAUUUAAA
RNAcentral lists this ribosomal RNA (447 nucleotides) under Neogloboquadrina pachyderma. RNAcentral describes it as "SSU rRNA". It matches the Rfam family "Eukaryotic small subunit ribosomal RNA", at positions 1164 to 1443 of the family's 1831-position model. The record is from RNAcentral. Lineage: Eukaryota; Foraminifera; Rotaliida; Globorotaliidae.